This 720-nucleotide ribosomal RNA is filed under the name uncultured bacterium. Its description in RNAcentral is "bacterial SSU rRNA". It matches the Rfam family "Bacterial small subunit ribosomal RNA", at positions 74 to 826 of the family's 1533-position model. The record is from RNAcentral.
GGGUAGCAAUACCUGAGUAAAGUGGCGCACGGGUGUGUAACACGUGACUAACCUACCCUGGAGUGGGGGAUAACUGAGGGAAACCUUAGCUAAUACCGCAUAAUACCUACGGGUCAAAGGAGCAAUUCGCUUCAGGAGGGGGUCGCGGCCGAUUAGUUAGUUGGCGGGGUAAUGGCCCACCAAGACAGUGAUCGGUAUCCGGCCUGAGAGGGCGCACGGACACACUGGAACUGAAACACGGUCCAGACUCCUACGGGAGGCAGCAGUGGGGAAUUUUGCGCAAUGGGGGAAACCCUGACGCAGCAACGCCGCGUGGAGGAUGAAGUCCUUCGGGACGUAAACUCCUUUCGAUCGGGACGAUUAUGACGGUACCGGAAGAAGAAGCCCCGGCUAACUCCGUGCCAGCAGCCGCGGUAAUACGGGGGGGGCAAGCGUUGUUCGGAAUUACUGGGCGUAAAGGGCUCGUAGGUGGCCAACUAAGUCAUACGUGAAAUCCCUCGGCUUAACCGGGGAACUGCGUCUGAUACUGGAUGGCUUGAGGUUGGGAGAGGGAUGCGGAAUUCCAGGUGUAGCGGUGAAAUGCGUAGAUAUCUGGAGGAACACCGGUGGCGAAGGCGGCAUCCUGGACCAAUUCUGACACUGAGGAGCGAAAGCCAGGGGAGCAAACGGGAUUAGAUACCCCGGUAGUCCUGGCCCUAAACGAUGAAUGCUUGGUGUGGC